UACAGAGGUCCCAAGCGUUGUUCGGAUUCACUGGGCGUAAAGGGUGCGUAGGUGGUGAGGUAAGUCGGAUGUGAAAGCUCGGAGCUCAACUCCGAAAUGGCAUUGGAAACUACCUUGCUCGAGGAAUGGAAGGGGGACUGGAAUUUACGGUGUAGCGGUGAAAUGCGUAGAUAUCGUAAGGAAGACCAGUGGCGAAGGCGGGUCUCUGGACAGUUCCUGACGCUGAGGCACGAAGGCCAGGGGAGCAAACGGG
Molecule: ribosomal RNA, 253 nt
Filed under: uncultured bacterium
Lineage: Bacteria
Description: partial 16S ribosomal RNA
Rfam family: Bacterial small subunit ribosomal RNA
Source: RNAcentral